UACGUAGGUGGCAAGCGUUGUCCGGAUUUACUGGGCGUAAAGAGCGCGCAGGCGGUCGAUUUAGUCGCGUGUGAAAGCCCCCGGCUCAACUGGGGAGGGUCACGCGAUACUGAUCGACUCGAAGGCAGGAGAGGGUAGUGGAAUUCCCGAUGUAGUGGUGAAAUGCGUAGAUAUCGGGAGGAACACCAGUGGCGAAGGCGACUACCUGGCCUGUUCUUGACGCUGAGGCGCGAAAGCUAGGGGAGCAAACGGG
Molecule: ribosomal RNA, 253 nt
Filed under: uncultured bacterium
Lineage: Bacteria
Description: partial 16S ribosomal RNA
Rfam family: Bacterial small subunit ribosomal RNA
Source: RNAcentral